Molecule: non-coding RNA, 2118 nt
Organism: Danio rerio (zebrafish)
Lineage: Eukaryota; Metazoa; Chordata; Actinopteri; Cypriniformes; Danionidae
Source: RefSeq, a predicted model, not a curated record
UCUACCUGACUAACUAUUAAAUAACAAAAUAAACGGAUAAUUAGUAACAACACAAUAAACAGAUAAUUAGUAACAACGCAAUAAACAGAUAAUUAGUAACGACGCAAUAAACAGAUAAUUAGUAACGGAGCAAUAAAGAUAUAAUUAGUAACGACGCAAUAAACAGAUAAUUAGUAACGACGCAAUAAACAGAUAAUUAGUAACAACGCAUUAAACAGAUAAUUAGUAACAACGCAAUAAACAGAUAAUUAGUAACGACGCAAUAAACAGAUAAUUAGUAACGGAGCAAUAAACAGAUAAUUAGUAACGACGCAAUAAACAGAUAAUUAGUAACGACGCAAUAAACAGAUAAUUAGUAACGGAGCAAUAAAGAUAUAAUUAGUAACAACACAAUAAACAGAUAAUUAGUAACAACGCAAUAAACAGAUAAUUAGUAACGGAGCAAUAAAGAUAUAAUUAGUAACGACGCAAUAAACAGAUAAUUAGUAACGACGCAAUAAACAGAUAAUUAGUAACGGAGCAAUAAAGAUAUAAUUAGUAACAACGCAAUAAACAGAUAAUUAGUAACAACGCAAUAAACGGAUAAUUAGUAACAACGCAAUAAACAGAUAAUUAGUAACAACGCAAUCAACGGAUAAUUAGUAACAACGCAAUAAACGGAUAAUUAGUAACAACGCAAUAAACGGAUAAUUAGUAACAACGCAAUAAACGGAUAAUUAGUAACAACGCAAUAAACGGAUAAUUAAUAACAACGCAAUAAACGGAUAAUUAGUAACAACGCAAUAAACGGAUAAUUAGUAACAACGCAAUAAACGGAUAAUUAGUAACAACGCAGCAAACGGAUAAUUAGUAACAACGCAAUAAACGGAUAAUUAGUAACAACGCAAUAAACGGAUAAUUAGUAACAACGCAAUAAACGGAUAAUUAGUAACAACGCAACAAACGGAUAAUUAGUAACAACGCAAUAAACGGAUAAUUAUUAACAACGCAAUAAACGGAUAAUUAGUAACAACGCAAUAAACGGAUAAUUAGUAACAACGCAAUAAACGGAUAAUUAUUAACAACGCAAUAAACGGAUAAUUAGUAACAACGCAAUAAACGGAUAAUUAGUAACAACGCAAUAAACGGAUAAUUAGUAACAACGCAAUAAACGGAUAAUUAUUAACAACGCAAUAAACGGAUAAUUAGUAACAACGCAAUAAACGGAUAAUUAGUAACAACGCAAUAAACGGAUAAUUAUUAACAACGCAAUAAACGGAUAAUUAGUAACAACGCAAUAAACGGAUAAUUAGUAACAACGCAAUAAACGGAUAAUUAGUAACAACGCAAUAAACGGAUAAUUAGUAACAACGCAAUAAACGAAUAAUUAAUAACAACGCAAUAAACGGAUAAUUAGUAACAACGCAAUAAACGGAUAAUUAGUAACAACGCAAUAAACGGAUAAUUAGUAACAACGCAAUAAACGGAUAAUUAGUAACAACGCAAUAAACGGAUAAUUAGUAACAACGCAAUAAACGGAUAAUUAGUAACAACGCAAUAAACGGAUAAUUAGUAACAACGCAAUAAACGGAUAAUUAGUAACAACGCAAUAAACGGAUAAUUAUUAACAACGCAAUAAACGGAUAAUUAGUAACAACGCAAUAAACGGAUAAUUAUUAACAACGCAAUAAACGGAUAAUUAGUAACAACGCAAUAAACGGAUAAUUAGUAACAACGCAAUAAACGGAUAAUUAGUAACAACGCAAUAAACGGAUAAUUAUUAACAACGCAAUAAACGGAUAAUUAUUAACAACGCUAUAAACGGAUAAUUAGUAACAACGCAAUAAACGGAUAAUUAUUAACAACGCAAUAAAUGGAUAAUUAUUAACAACGCUAUAAACGGAUAAUUAGUAACAACGCAAUAAACGGAUAAUUAUUAACAACGCAAUAAACGGAUAAUUAUUAACAACGCUAUAAACGGAUAAUUAGUAACAACGCAAUAAACGGAUAAUUAGUAACAACGCAAUAAAUGGAUAAUUAUUAACAACGCAAUAAACGGAUAAUUAGUAACAACGCAAUAAACGGAUAAUUAGUAACAACGCAAUAAACGGAUAAUUAGUAACAAUGCAAUAAACGGAC